UGCGAUGGCUCAUUAUAUAAGUUAUCGUUUAUUUGAUAGUACCUUACUACUUGGAUAACCGUGGUAAUUCUAGAGCUAAUACAUGCUAAAAACCCCGACUUCGGGAGGGGUGUAUUUAUUAGAUUAAAAACCAAUGCCCUCCGGGGCUCUCUGGUGAUUCAUGAUAACUUCUCGAAUCGCACGGCCUUGCGCCGGCGAUGGUUCAUUCAAAUUUCUUCCCUAUCAACUUUCGAUGUUUGGAUCUGGGCCAAACAUGGUUGCAACGGGUAACGGGGAAU
RNAcentral lists this ribosomal RNA (278 nucleotides) under uncultured fungus. RNAcentral's name for it is "partial 18S ribosomal RNA". It matches the Rfam family "Eukaryotic small subunit ribosomal RNA", at positions 93 to 370 of the family's 1831-position model. Lineage: Eukaryota; Fungi. The record is from RNAcentral.